Molecule: transfer RNA, 88 nt
Filed under: Candidatus Nealsoniibacteriota bacterium
Lineage: Bacteria; Candidatus Nealsoniibacteriota
Also listed under: 1 other name
Description: tRNA-Ser
Rfam family: tRNA
About the family: Transfer RNA (tRNA) molecules are approximately 80 nucleotides in length. Their secondary structure includes four short double-helical elements and three loops (D, anti-codon, and T loops).
Source: RNAcentral
GGAGAGGUGCGCCGAAUGGCAAGGCAGCAGUUUGCUAAACUGUAACGGUGUAAAAAGCCGUUUGCGGGUUCGAGUCCCGCCCUCUCCG